CGGACGGGUGAGUAACGCGUGGGAAUCUACCUAGUAGCGGAGGAUAACUCGGGGAAACUCGAGCUAAUACUGCAUACGCCCUACGGGGGAAAGCGGGGGAUCUUCGGACCUCGCACUAUUAGAUGAGCCCGCGUGAGAUUAGCUUGUUGGUGAGGUAAAGGCUCACCAAGGCGACGAUCUCUAGCUGGUCCGAGAGGAUGAUCAGCCACACUGGGACUGAGACACGGCCCAG
Molecule: ribosomal RNA, 232 nt
Filed under: uncultured bacterium
Lineage: Bacteria
Description: partial 16S ribosomal RNA
Rfam family: Bacterial small subunit ribosomal RNA
Source: RNAcentral